Molecule: ribosomal RNA, 1243 nt
Filed under: metagenome
Description: bacterial LSU rRNA
Rfam family: Bacterial large subunit ribosomal RNA
Source: RNAcentral
UGAAUACGAGAUGCUACGGCGUCGAAGCAGUCUAUGUCAUACUUCCAAGAAAAGCUCGCACUGUCAUAAACAAAUAAUGCCUGUACCAUAACCGACACAGGUGGGUAGGUAGAGUAUACUAAGGGGCGCGAGAUAACUCUCUCUAAGGAACUCGGCAAAAUGACUCCGUAACUUCGGGAGAAGGAGUGCCUUAUUUAUAAGGUUGCAAUAACAAGAUCCAAGCAACUGUUUAUCAAAAACACAGGUCUCCGCUAAGUCGUAAGACGAUGUAUGGGGGCUGACGCCUGCCCAGUGCCAGAAGGUUAAAGAAGUUGGUUAGCAUUCGCGAAGCUGAUAACUGAAGCCCUGGUGAACGGCGGCCGUAACGAUAACGGUCCUAAGGUAGCGAAAUUCCUUGUCGGGUAAGUUCCGACCCGCACGAAAGGCGUAAUGAUUUGGAUACUGUCUCGGAGAGGGGCUCGGUGAAAUAGACUUGUCUGUGAAGAUGCGGACUACCUGCACCAGGACAGAAAGACCCUAUGAAGCUUUACUGUAACUUGAGAUUGAAAUUGGACUUUACUUGCGCAGUAUAGGUGGGAGGCGUUGAUAAUAUUCUUGCGGGAUUAUUUGAGCCAUCAGUGAGAUACCACUCUUGUAAUGUUAGAUUUCUAACUUUGUAUCAUUAUCUGGUCAAAGGACAGUUUCAGGCGGGCAGUUUGACUGGGGCGGUCGCCUCCUAAACGGUAACGGAGGCGCACAAAGGUUUCCUCUGAACGGGUAGAAAUCGUAUCUAGAGUGUAAAGGCAUAAGGAAGCUUGACUGUGAGACCUACAAGUCGAGCAGGGACGAAAGUCGGUCUUAGUGAUCUGACGGUGCUGAGUGGAAAGGCCGUCACUCAACGGAUAAAAGUUACUCUAGGAUAACAGGCUGAUCUCCCCCAAGAGUUCACAUCGACGGGGAGGUUUGGCACCUCGAUGUCGGCUCAUCGCAUCCUGGGGCGGUAGUACGUCCCAAGGGUUGGGCUGUUCGCCCAUGAAAGCGGUACGCGAGCUGGGUUCAGAACGUCGUGAGACAGUUCGGUCCAUAUCCGGUGUAGGCGUUAGAAUAUUGAGAGGAGCCUUCUUUAGUACGAGAGGACCGAGAAGGACAUACCUCUGGUGUACCAGUUAUCGUGCCAACGGUAAACGCUGGGUAGCUAUGUAUGGAGUGGAUAACCGCUGAAAGCAUCUAAGUGGGAAGCCCACCUCAAGAUAAGUAUUCUCAC